This 782-nucleotide ribosomal RNA is filed under the name Wolbachia endosymbiont of Pezothrips kellyanus. RNAcentral describes it as "bacterial SSU rRNA". It matches the Rfam family "Bacterial small subunit ribosomal RNA", at positions 100 to 922 of the family's 1533-position model. The record is from RNAcentral. Lineage: Bacteria; Pseudomonadati; Pseudomonadota; Alphaproteobacteria; Rickettsiales; Anaplasmataceae.
GACGGGUGAGUAAUGUAUAGGAAUCUACCUAGUAGUACGGAAUAAUUGUUGGAAACGACAACUAAUACCGUAUACGCCCUACGGGGGAAAAUUUAUUGCUAUUAGAUGAGCCUAUAUUAGAUUAGCUAGUUGGUGGAGUAAUAGCCUACCAAGGCAAUGAUCUAUAGCUGAUCUGAGAGGAUGAUCAGCCACACUGGAACUGAGAUACGGUCCAGACUCCUACGGGAGGCAGCAGUGGGGAAUAUUGGACAAUGGGCGAAAGCCUGAUCCAGCCAUGCCGCAUGAGUGAAGAAGGCCUUUGGGUUGUAAAGCUCUUUUAGUGAGGAAGAUAAUGACGGUACUCACAGAAGAAGUCCUGGCUAACUCCGUGCCAGCAGCCGCGGUAAUACGGAGAGGGCUAGCGUUAUUCGGAAUUAUUGGGCGUAAAGGGCGCGUAGGCUGGUUAAUAAGUUAAAAGUGAAAUCCCGAGGCUUAACCUUGGAAUUGCUUUUAAAACUAUUAAUCUAGAGAUUGAAAGAGGAUAGAGGAAUUCCUGAUGUAGAGGUAAAAUUCGUAAAUAUUAGGAGGAACACCAGUGGCGAAGGCGUCUAUCUGGUUCAAAUCUGACGCUGAAGCGCGAAGGCGUGGGGAGCAAACAGGAUUAGAUACCCUGGUAGUCCACGCUGUAAACGAUGAAUGUUAAAUAUGGGAAGUUUACUUUCUGUAUUACAGCUAACGCGUUAAACAUUCCGCCUGGGGACUACGGUCGCAAGAUUAAAACUCAAAGGAAUUGACGGGGACCC